AUUUGAACGCAUAUUGCGGCUACGGGGUAUCUCGUGGCCACGCCUGUUCGAGGGUU
RNAcentral lists this ribosomal RNA (56 nucleotides) under Psettarium martini. Its description in RNAcentral is "partial 5.8S ribosomal RNA". The record is from RNAcentral. Lineage: Eukaryota; Metazoa; Platyhelminthes; Trematoda; Strigeidida; Aporocotylidae.